CCUACGGGUGGCAGCAGUGAGGAAUAUUGGUCAAUGGACGAGAGUCUGAACCAGCCAAGUAGCGUGAAGGAUGACUGCCCUAGGGGUUGUAAACUUCUUUUAUAUGGGAAUAAAAUGUUCCACGUGUGGGUUUUUGUAUGUACCAUAUGAAUAAGGAUCGGCUAACUCCAUCCCAGCAGCCGCGGUAAUACGGAGGAUCCGAGCGUUAUCCGGAUUUGUUGGGUGUAAAGGGAGCGUAGGUGGAUUGUUAAGUCAGUUGUGAAAGUUUGGGGCUCAACCGUAGAAUUGCAGUUGAAACUGGCAGUCUUGAGUACAGUAGAGGUGGGCGGAAUUCGUGGUGUAGCGGUGAAAUGCUUAGAUAUCACGAAGAACUCCGAUUGCGAAGGCAGCUCACUGGACUGCAACUGACAGUGAGGCUCGAAAGUGUGGGUAGCAAACAGGAUUAGAUACCCGUGUAGUC
Molecule: ribosomal RNA, 460 nt
Filed under: uncultured bacterium
Lineage: Bacteria
Description: partial 16S ribosomal RNA
Rfam family: Bacterial small subunit ribosomal RNA
Source: RNAcentral